CCUGAGACAUUCUGGGAAUGUUGACUUCCUGGUGUGUGUGGCAGGAGUCAAUCCCUACGUGGGAAGUACCUUGGGGAGCAGUGAGGAGGUCUGGGACAAGAUCUUGAAUGUCAAUGUGAAGGCCCCGGCCCUGCUACUGAGCCAGCUGCUGCCCCACAUGGAGAACAGGGGGGGAAGCUCUGUGGUUCUGGUCUCCUCA
This is a long non-coding RNA of Myotis davidii, 199 nucleotides long. RefSeq lists it as uncharacterized. The record is from RefSeq and is a predicted model, not a curated record. The transcript is spliced from 3 exons. NCBI's taxonomy places the organism in Eukaryota, Metazoa, Chordata, Mammalia, Chiroptera, Vespertilionidae.